Molecule: non-coding RNA, 225 nt
Organism: Vicia faba (fava bean)
Lineage: Eukaryota; Viridiplantae; Streptophyta; Magnoliopsida; Fabales; Fabaceae
Source: the annotation of a GenBank genome assembly
AUGACUAUUUUCAUAUAUUCAUACACUUCCAAAGAGGUAUUAAGGCACUAUAUAAACUAUACAUUUUCAGAUUUGAAACAAGAGUAUGUGUUCUUGAACUUUCUUAAAGAAUUUUUCCGCAUGUGUUUCUAUAUUAUAUAUUCUAUCAUUAUAAAUUAUUUGUUUGAAGGGAAGAUCAAUUAUAUUAAUACAUCACUCAAAGUGAUAAUUGUUUCAUUUUCUUAA